RNAcentral lists this ribosomal RNA (483 nucleotides) under Proteus mirabilis. RNAcentral's name for it is "bacterial SSU rRNA". It matches the Rfam family "Bacterial small subunit ribosomal RNA", at positions 965 to 1447 of the family's 1533-position model. The record is from RNAcentral. Lineage: Bacteria; Pseudomonadati; Pseudomonadota; Gammaproteobacteria; Enterobacterales; Morganellaceae.
GGAACCUUACUUACUCUUGACAUCCAGCGAAUCCUUUAGAGAUAGAGGAGUGCCUUCGGGAACGCUGAGACAGGUGCUGCAUGGCUGUCGUCAGCUCGUGUUGUGAAAUGUUGGGUUAAGUCCCGCAACGAGCGCAACCCUUAUCCUUUGUUGCCAGCACGUAAUGGUGGGAACUCAAAGGAGACUGCCGGUGAUAAACCGGAGGAAGGUGGGGAUGACGUCAAGUCAUCAUGGCCCUUACGAGUAGGGCUACACACGUGCUACAAUGGCAGAUACAAAGAGAAGCGACCUCGCGAGAGCAAGCGGAACUCAUAAAGUCUGUCGUAGUCCGGAUUGGAGUCUGCAACUCGACUCCAUGAAGUCGGAAUCGCUAGUAAUCGUAGAUCAGAAUGCUACGGUGAAUACGUUCCCGGGCCUUGUACACACCGCCCGUCACACCAUGGGAGUGGGUUGCAAAAGAAGUAGGUAGCUUAACCUUCGGGC